Molecule: long non-coding RNA, 821 nt
Organism: Canis lupus familiaris (dog)
Lineage: Eukaryota; Metazoa; Chordata; Mammalia; Carnivora; Canidae
Exons: 4
Source: RefSeq, a predicted model, not a curated record
UUUUAUUGGACUAGACAUUAGUAUGAUGUUUUCAUUACUGUCACUGCAUCUCAGCUUGAAACAAUAGCUGCUAUAACUAUUCUUCUCAGUUUUCAGUUUUAUAAUGGUAUAAAUUACAUGUUUAAAAACAAGUGUGAGGUAUUUAUCUGUUUCUACAGAAGCACAUUUUACUUUCAGCAGAUUAGCCCCUCUGGCAGAAGGAUUCUGGUGGUGGUACUCUACCUGCCAAUUCUCCACCCACACGGUACACCUGAACUCCGGCAUCUUUGGGAUUGACAUGUUGUCUACUCUGCUUCAGAAUAAUUUUAUAUUUCAAGACAGAAACAAAAUGGGAGAGUUAUGAAAUGCUAAACCUAUUUCUCAAGCAAUGUGAUAGCAUGGGUCCUCUUUGCGCACGACUGUUGGAGGAAAUAGCUGUCCAAAACACUCUUCGUUGUGAAAAUAUGGAGAGAGGAAUCAAAGAAUAGCAAAGAUUUCAGAAAUGUUUUGACCAACUGGUGGAUACUUCUCAGAACCACUGAAACUCUAGUUCCAUCAGAAAAUGCAGACGUUUUGAAGGCAGACAAAUACUGAGCAUGUUGUUGAAAGAUCAUUUUCAAAAAAAGAAAGAAGUGUGAUUUCAUUGCUGCAAGGUAAACCAAUACAAAGAAAACCAAUUUUAAAUGUAUGAUUGUCCCUGGAGGAUCAUCAAAGUCAAAGCUAAUUGGCAGGAGAAGGUAAUUCAUACACAAGUGUACUUUGCCAGGUUUCAUGUUUCUAACUUCACAAAUGCUUCAGAAGGUAUGGAAAUUGCUUCCUUAUUUUUCAGGGACUUUAUUACU